CCUACGGGUGGCAGCAGUGAGGAAUAUUGGUCAAGGGGCGCGAGCCUGAACCAGCCAAGUAGCGUGAAGGAUGAAGGCCCUACGGGUUGUAAACUUCUGUUAUAAAGGAAUAAAGUGAGGCACGAGUGCCCUUUUGGAUGUACCUUAUGAAAAAGGAUCGGCUAACUCCGUGCCAGCAGCCGCGGUAAUACGGAGGAUCCGAGCGUUAUCCGGCUUUAUUGGGUUUAACGGGAGCGUAGAUGGGUUGUUAAGUCAGUUGUGAAAGUUUGCGGCUCAACCGGAAAAUUGCAAUUGAUACUGGCAGUCUUGUGUACAGUUGCGGUAGUCUGAAUUCGUGGUGUAGCGG
RNAcentral lists this ribosomal RNA (346 nucleotides) under uncultured bacterium. RNAcentral's name for it is "partial 16S ribosomal RNA". It matches the Rfam family "Bacterial small subunit ribosomal RNA", at positions 338 to 681 of the family's 1533-position model. The record is from RNAcentral.